GCCGAGGUGGUGAAAUUGGUAGACACGCUGGAUUCAAAAUCCAGUGGCUUCACGGCCGUGCCGGUUCGAUUCCGGCUCUCGGUACCA
RNAcentral lists this transfer RNA (87 nucleotides) under Deltaproteobacteria bacterium. Its description in RNAcentral is "tRNA-Leu". It matches the Rfam family "tRNA". From Rfam's summary of the family: Transfer RNA (tRNA) molecules are approximately 80 nucleotides in length. Their secondary structure includes four short double-helical elements and three loops (D, anti-codon, and T loops). Lineage: Bacteria; Pseudomonadati; Myxococcota; Myxococcia. The record is from RNAcentral.